Molecule: ribosomal RNA, 253 nt
Filed under: uncultured bacterium
Lineage: Bacteria
Description: partial 16S ribosomal RNA
Rfam family: Bacterial small subunit ribosomal RNA
Source: RNAcentral
UACGAAGGGGGCUAGCGUUGCUCGGAAUCACUGGGCGUAAAGCGCACGUAGGCGGGUCGUUAAGUCGGGGGUGAAAUCCUGGAGCUCAACUCCAGAACUGCCUUCGAUACUGGCGAUCUUGAGUCUGGGAGAGGUGAGUGGAACUCCGAGUGUAGAGGUGAAAUUCGUAGAUAUUCGGAAGAACACCAGUGGCGAAGGCGGCUCACAGGCCCGGUACUGACGCUGAGGUGCGAAAGCGUGGGGAGCAAACAGG